RNAcentral lists this ribosomal RNA (614 nucleotides) under uncultured bacterium. Its description in RNAcentral is "bacterial SSU rRNA". It matches the Rfam family "Bacterial small subunit ribosomal RNA", at positions 41 to 661 of the family's 1533-position model. The record is from RNAcentral.
GGCGGGUGCUAACACAUGCAAGUCGAACGGGACCAGGGCAAUCUGGUUCAGUGGCGAACGGGUGUGUAACACGUGAGGAACAUGACUUUCGGCGGGGGAUAGCCGGCCCAACGGCCGGGUAAUACCGCGUACGACCUCUCGGGGACAUCCCCGGUUGGUGAAAGCAGCAAUGCACCGAAAGAGUGCCUCGCGGCCUAUCAGCUAGUUGGUGGGGUAACGGCUCACCAAGGCGACGACGGGUAGCUGGUCUGAGAGGAUGGCCAGCCACAUUGGGACUGAGACACGGCCCAGACUCCUACGGGAGGCAGCAGUGGGGAAUAUUGCGCAAUGGGCGAAAGCCUGACGCAGCGACGCCGCGUGUGGGAUGACGGCCUUCGGGUUGUAAACCACUGUCGGGAGGGACGAAUGCGCCGCAAGGCGAGUGACGGUACCUCCAAAGGAAGCACCGGCUAACCCCGUGCCAGCAGCCGCGGUAAUACGGAGGGUGCGAGCGUUGUCCGGAAUCACUGGGCGUAAAGGGCGCGUAGGCGGNCCGAUAAGUAGGGGGUGAAAUCCUGCGGCUUAACCGCAGGGCUGCCUUCUAAACUGUCGGGCUAGAGCACGGUAGAGGCAGA